AGUGAACGCUGGCGGUAGGCCUAACACAUGCAAGUCGAACGGCAGCACAGGAGAGCUUGCUUCCUGGGUGGCGAGUAGCGGACGGGUGAGGAAUACAUCGGAAUCUACUCUGUCGUGGGGGACAACGUAGGGAAACUUACGCUACUACCGCAUACCACCUCUGGGCGAAAGCAGGGGACCCUCGGGCCUUGCGCGAUUGAAUGAGCCGAUGUCGUAUUAGCUAGUUGGCGGGGUAAAGGCCCACCAAGGCGACGAUCCGUAGCUGGUCUGAGAGGAUGAUCAGCCACACUGGAACUGAGACACGGUCCAGACUCCUACGGGAGGCAGCAGUGGGGAAUAUUGGACAAGGGGCGCAAGCCUGAUCCAGCCAUACCGCGUGGGUGAAGAAGGCCUUCGGGUUGUAAAGCCCUUUUGUUGGGAAAGAAAUCCAGCUGGCUAAUACCCGGUUGGGAUGACGGUACCCAAAGAAUAAGCACCGGCUAACUUCGUGCCAGCAGCCGCCGUAA
RNAcentral lists this ribosomal RNA (506 nucleotides) under uncultured bacterium. RNAcentral describes it as "partial 16S ribosomal RNA". It matches the Rfam family "Bacterial small subunit ribosomal RNA", at positions 29 to 523 of the family's 1533-position model. The record is from RNAcentral.